UAACUACAAAGCGGUUCAUUAGCCGUUCCUGGUACUGGCGGGGGAAAAAGUUUACAUAAAAUUUACGAGCAGGGUCAUACCUGGCUGGGUUCAAUCAUAACACAUUGCUUUUCUAGCGAGAUAAUUAGCAGUUUUUCUCUCCCAUGGCCCCUGCCCUUGACACAAUCGGUAACUUUUUCCAGGCCGCAGUCCCUUCCCCCAACACAUUCAGUAAGUUUCUCAUGUUUCAUUUCCUCCCCCUAGCACAUUCCAUACUGGUC
Long non-coding RNA from Myotis brandtii (Brandt's bat), 260 nucleotides. RefSeq lists it as uncharacterized. The transcript has 3 exons. The record is from RefSeq and is a predicted model, not a curated record. NCBI's taxonomy places the organism in Eukaryota, Metazoa, Chordata, Mammalia, Chiroptera, Vespertilionidae.